This 64-nucleotide transfer RNA is filed under the name Hexostoma thynni. RNAcentral describes it as "tRNA-Val". It matches the Rfam family "tRNA". Rfam says of the family: Transfer RNA (tRNA) molecules are approximately 80 nucleotides in length. Their secondary structure includes four short double-helical elements and three loops (D, anti-codon, and T loops). Further hydrogen bonds mediate the characteristic L-shaped molecular structure. tRNAs have two regions of fundamental functional importance: the anti-codon, which is responsible for specific mRNA codon recognition, and the 3' end, to which the tRNAs corresponding amino acid is attached (by aminoacyl-tRNA synthetases). tRNAs cope with the degeneracy of the genetic code in two manners: having more than one tRNA (with a specific anti-codon) for a particular amino acid; and 'wobble' base-pairing, i.e. permitting non-standard base-pairing at the 3rd anti-codon position. Lineage: Eukaryota; Metazoa; Platyhelminthes; Monogenea; Diclybothriidea; Hexostomatidae. The record is from RNAcentral.
AUCAGCAUAGUUUAAUAAAACACUUGUUUUACACACAAGAGAUGAGCGAAAAGCCCUACUGUUA